CUUUGUUCUGCAGACUUGCCCGUGCUUUUCCCAUAACUUGUUUGUCUUGGACUGCGCUUUUCUGUUAUCCUGAAUGAACCCAUCGUUUGCUGAAGUAACGUUUUUGAAAGAAUUCACCUAGAUGAUUCUUGUUGGACUCUUCGGAUUGAGAAGUGGGAGAGGGGCAGAGGGAGAGGAAGAGAGAGAAUCCCAAGCAGGCUCCACGCCCAGUG
Molecule: long non-coding RNA, 212 nt
Organism: Ailuropoda melanoleuca (giant panda)
Lineage: Eukaryota; Metazoa; Chordata; Mammalia; Carnivora; Ursidae
Exons: 3
Source: RefSeq, a predicted model, not a curated record